UCCUACGGGAGGCAGCAGUGGGGAAUAUUGCACAAUGGACGAAAGUCUGAUGCAGCAACGCCGCGUGGAGGAUGACACAUUUCGGUGCGUAAACUCCUUUUAUAUGGGAAGAUAAUGACGGUACCAUAUGAAUAAGCACCGGCUAACUCCGUGCCAGCAGCCGCGGUAAU
Molecule: ribosomal RNA, 170 nt
Filed under: uncultured bacterium
Lineage: Bacteria
Description: partial 16S ribosomal RNA
Rfam family: Bacterial small subunit ribosomal RNA
Source: RNAcentral